CAGCAGCCGCGGGAAGACGAACCGUGCGAACGUUAUUCGGAAUCACUGGGCUUAAAGCGCGUGUAGGCGGAUGGGAGCGUCGGCCUCUGAAAUCCCCCGGCUCAACCGGGGAAGUGGAGCCGAAACGACCCGUCUGGAGGGACGUAGGGGGACCUGGAACUUCCGGUGGAGCGGUGAAAUGCGUUGAGAUCGGAAGGAACGCCCGUGGCGAAAGCGAGGUCCUGGACGUCUGCUGACGCUGAGACGCGAAAGCCAGGGGAGCGAACGGGAUUAGAUACCCGCGUAGUCCCUGUCUCUUAUU
This 301-nucleotide ribosomal RNA is filed under the name uncultured bacterium. RNAcentral's name for it is "partial 16S ribosomal RNA". It matches the Rfam family "Bacterial small subunit ribosomal RNA", at positions 509 to 807 of the family's 1533-position model. The record is from RNAcentral.